This 253-nucleotide ribosomal RNA is filed under the name uncultured bacterium. Its description in RNAcentral is "partial 16S ribosomal RNA". It matches the Rfam family "Bacterial small subunit ribosomal RNA", at positions 524 to 776 of the family's 1533-position model. The record is from RNAcentral.
UACAGAGGUCUCAAGCGUUGUUCGGAUUCAUUGGGCGUAAAGGGUGUGUAGGUGGCGCGUUAAGUCGGGUGUGAAAUCUUGGAGCUUAACUCCGAAACUGCAUUCGAUACUGCCGUGCUUGAGGACUGGAGAGGAGACUGGAAUUUACGGUGUAGCGGUGAAAUGCGUAGAUAUCGUAAGGAAGACCAGUGGCGAAGGCGGGUCUCUGGACAGUUCCUGACGCUGAGGCACGAAGGCCAGGGGAGCAAACGGG